Molecule: long non-coding RNA, 977 nt
Filed under: Homo sapiens (human)
Lineage: Eukaryota; Metazoa; Chordata; Mammalia; Primates; Hominidae
Description: novel transcript
Source: RNAcentral
UGGAAGAGAGAAGGAAGUUGUACCGGUGAGCCCUCCUCCCCUGACCCCACGUGAGCUGCUGAUGCUUCCAGCACCCACGCCUGAUUUCCUUCCUGCCCUACAGAGCGCGUGCGGGACUCCUGGAAGGAAGAUGCCUUAUUUGGGUACCAGUUUCUUAAUGGCGCCAACCCCGUGGUGCUGAGGCGCUCUGCUCACCUUCCUGCUCGCCUAGUGUUCCCUCCAGGCAUGGAGGAACUGCAGGCCCAGCUGGAGAAGGAGCUGGAGGCCCUGUGUGUGGUGUAGAGUUCCUAGAUGACAAGACAGAGUCCAUGUCCUCAAGGAAUGUGCGGUUAUACGAAGGAUGCAGGCACAGAAACACACAAGCCCAGGGAUGGAAGGGUGGAGAAACGCCACCCUCUUGACGAAGAAGAGGGCUCUGGGCAGCCUGUGGCUGGAGAAGUUACCUCGGAUCCUUUAGCCAGAGCAAAUCCGCCCCCUAGUAGCAGCACGAUGCCCCAGGGCACUUUCUCCUGGGUUACCUUCCAAUCCAGCAGGGGAGGGGGAUAAAAUGGAGUUUUCCUUUCUGGGAAGAAAAAGAAACACACACACACACACACACACACACACACACACACACACACACACACACACCAGAGCAGCAUUAGAAGACAAAAGAAAUCUAAUCAAGGGGGAAUAAAGCUAAUAAGGACAAUGAGGUACCAUCUCCUACUUAUAAAUUAGCUAAAGUUUACAAUAAUAUAUACAUUGCUGGUGAGGAUAUGAUCAAACUAUUACACACACUGCCAAUAGCAUCGUAAAUUGGUAUGACCUUUUUGAAAAGCAAUUUGGCCAUACAUUUUAAGGGCCAUUAAGACUUUGUAUUCUAUCACCCCAGCAAUAUUACUCCUAGAAGUUUAUCCUAAAGAAAAAAUACCCUCAAAGGAAAAGCUAUAUGCAAGAAAACAUUAAUUUAUGAAAAUAAAAAAUUCAAAACAGCC